RNAcentral lists this ribosomal RNA (793 nucleotides) under uncultured bacterium. RNAcentral's name for it is "bacterial SSU rRNA". It matches the Rfam family "Bacterial small subunit ribosomal RNA", at positions 8 to 796 of the family's 1533-position model. The record is from RNAcentral.
AGAGUUUGAUCCUGGCUCAGAUUGAACGCUGGCGGCAGGCCUAACACAUGCAGGUCGAGCGGUAGAGAGAAGCUUGCUUCUCUUGAGAGCGGCGGACGGGUGAGUAAUGCCUAGGAAUCUGCCUGGUAGUGGGGGAUAACGUUCGGAAACGGACGCUAAUACCGCAUACGUCCUACGGGAGAAAGCAGGGGACCUUCGGGCCUUGCGCUAUCAGAUGAGCCUAGGUCGGAUUAGCUAGUUGGUGAGGUAAUGGCUCACCAAGGCGACGAUCCGUAACUGGUCUGAGAGGAUGAUCAGUCACACUGGAACUGAGACACGGUCCAGACUCCUACGGGAGGCAGCAGUGGGGAAUAUUGGACAAUGGGCGAAAGCCUGAUCCAGCCAUGCCGCGUGUGUGAAGAAGGUCUUCGGAUUGUAAAGCACUUUAAGUUGGGAGGAAGGGUUGUAGAUUAAUACUCUGCAAUUUUGACGUUACCGACAGAAUAAGCACCGGCUAACUCUGUGCCAGCAGCCGCGGUAAUACAGAGGGUGCAAGCGUUAAUCGGAAUUACUGGGCGUAAAGCGCGCGUAGGUGGUUUGUUAAGUUGGAUGUGAAAUCCCCGGGCUCAACCUGGGAACUGCAUUCAAAACUGACUGACUAGAGUAUGGUAGAGGGUGGUGGAAUUUCCUGUGUAGCGGUGAAAUGCGUAGAUAUAGGAAGGAACACCAGUGGCGAAGGCGACCACCUGGACUAAUACUGACACUGAGGUGCGAAAGCGUGGGGAGCAAACAGGAUUAGAUACCCUGGUAGUCC